This is a long non-coding RNA of Balaenoptera ricei (Rice's whale), 817 nucleotides long. RefSeq lists it as uncharacterized. The transcript is spliced from 4 exons. The record is from RefSeq and is a predicted model, not a curated record. NCBI's taxonomy places the organism in Eukaryota, Metazoa, Chordata, Mammalia, Artiodactyla, Balaenopteridae.
CCCUUGCGCAUUCGUCAGGCUUUCUGGAAGUCCCGGCCUGCCCUGCGGCAGCUUCAGGCCGCGGGCUCUGGGAAAUUUGACCAGGUGGCUGAUGGCAGGUCCUGACAUCUCAGAGAGGUUGGCAACUUGGAGGUCCCCCACCAGCUCUUCAGACUCUCAUGUUAUUGGCAACUGCUGGGCCUCACUCACAAGCUUUCAGCCAGCUCUGGGAGCUGUGCUUAUGAUGGCUGCAGCCCAAACUACAUUCAACGAGAAGAUCCUGGAGCUGAAGCAAUUCCCGACACGUCUUCCUUUCUGCAUGGGAAGAUCCAAGCCUGGGUGAGGGGGCAUCAUCCAGGAAGCGUUGAGAAGGCAGUGACCUUGGUGCAGCAUUUAGAGUGAGAACCCAGAAGACGAAGGCAAUGAAGCCGAGCCGAGGACGAGCAGCAGGACUGCAAGGAGGCUGGGGCUGAUGAUGGUGAAAGCGAGGAUUCGCCUGUGAUGACGUCAGCGAUGACAUGGGCACAGUCUCACCCGGGACCCCAGCAGUCCUGGCUGUUCCCAAACUGACCGCUGGUGUGCACAUCCGCCUCCUCGCAGGGAAACGCAAGCACGUCCUGAUCCAGCCAUGCAGACUCGGGCGCCAGCGGGCUGCUUCCUGCUCUGGCCACAGUCACAUUCAGGCUGGCAUUCCUCUGACCCACACUCCUCCGUUACUCGUUGCCUCUCCCAGAUUUCUGACCUGGAUUUCAGCCGCCUUCUUCCCACAGAAUCUCCCACAACUGAAGCCUUCAUGUUUCUUUUCCUUCUCCUGUGCCUUUCACACCCCGCUUCUCCC